This 436-nucleotide ribosomal RNA is filed under the name Entodesma navicula. RNAcentral's name for it is "partial 16S ribosomal RNA". It matches the Rfam family "Bacterial large subunit ribosomal RNA", at positions 1830 to 2600 of the family's 2925-position model. Lineage: Eukaryota; Metazoa; Mollusca; Bivalvia; Lyonsiidae. The record is from RNAcentral.
CGCCUCGCGCAAACAUUCGAGGUCGUGCCUGCCCGGUGAUUAGUUUAACGGCUGCCGUAAUUGGUGCAAAGGUAGCAAAAUCUAUUGCCCCUUAAUUGGGGGCGUGUGAAUGGCUUGACGUGGGGCCGUCUGUCUCGGGUUGUAAGGAUGAAAUUUACCUUUAAGGUGAGAAGGCCUAAAUAGUGCGGUUGGACGAGAAGACCCUGGGAGCUUUACCGAAAGGUUUGGUUGGGGCAACCCGGGAGCAACAUCCCGACUUGAUCUGACAAGUGAUCCCCCCCGCGGGAAACUGGAAAAAGCUACCCCAGGGAUAACAGCGCUAUCCCCUUUGAGAGUUCCCAUCGACGAGGGGGCUUGCGACCUCGAUGUUGAAUUAGGGUUCCUUUAAGGCGUAGAGGCUUUAACAGUUGGUCUGUUCGACCAUUAAAACCCUACA